Molecule: non-coding RNA, 854 nt
Organism: Misgurnus anguillicaudatus (oriental weatherfish)
Lineage: Eukaryota; Metazoa; Chordata; Actinopteri; Cypriniformes; Cobitidae
Source: RefSeq, a predicted model, not a curated record
UCUCACCCCCAAGCUGUCCGAGAUGCAUAUGUCCAUCAUUUUUCAGACUAAGACAUUUUCAGUUAUUUUAGAAAAUGUUUUAGAUCUUUCAGUUUAUCAAAUGUAAAGUUCGAAUAGAGCUUUAAGAGAGAGUAUCAGUGUAGCGUACGCACUUUUCUUAGUGACGUAUGACAAAUUCGGAGGGCGGGGGCAAAGAUCAGCAGCACAGAACCGUUACCGGAAGCUAGUUUUCGUUUAUAAAGUUUUAAAUUUUGAUAUUUCUACAUAUUUCUACAACAAAACGGCACGGAUUACCCCCAGAAAGCCUUUGUUUAUCAUCGUGGAGCCGUUUGGAUUUCUUUUGUGAAGGAUGGAUGCACAUUUUUUUGGACUUGAAGGACAUGGACACCGUAACUUUACAUUAGACUUCACUACACGUCGUGCCUAACAACGCCCCUUAGCUGUUAUAAAAUGCACUGGUAACUCACUGCUUCAUGGGGCUUAUUGCUUUAUUUUGGCCGAACUAUAUCUCUUUAAUAAUAUCCUGUAGUGUGUGAUGGGCCAUGUUUUCAAAUUGUGAGCAUGUUUAAGAUUUGAGAGAAUAUCUGUCAAGAGUCUCUGUAUGUGUGUGCUGCAGCCAGCUUUCAUAAUCGCCCAGGAUUUUAAAAAUCUUGUAGUGUGAGCCCAGCUUUACCAAACUGAACCUUUUAUAAUACAUUUCAACAAAUUUUCCAGCUGAAGCUGUAACGUCCACAACUAAAACCAAAGCUGUUUCAACAUCAACCACCACUGUGGGUACUACAACAACAGUCAUGACAACUUCUGUUCCUCUGACCACUGAUAUUUCAGGGACAACUCCGGAAGAUAAAGGUUCU